RNAcentral lists this ribosomal RNA (254 nucleotides) under uncultured bacterium. RNAcentral's name for it is "partial 16S ribosomal RNA". It matches the Rfam family "Bacterial small subunit ribosomal RNA", at positions 524 to 776 of the family's 1533-position model. The record is from RNAcentral.
UACGGGGGGAGCAAGCGUUGUUCGUAUUUACUGGGCGUAAAGGGCGCGUAGGCGGUCAGCACAAGUCAGUUGUGAAAUCUCCGGGCUUAACCCGGAAAGGUCAACUGAUACUGUGCGACUAGAGUGCGGAAGGGGCAACUGGAAUUCUCGGUGUAGCGGUGAAAUGCGUAGAUAUCGAGAGGAACACCUGCGGCGAAGGCGGGUUGCUGGGCCGACACUGACGCUGAUGCGCGAAAGCCAGGGGAGCGAACGGG